This is a long non-coding RNA of Helicoverpa armigera (cotton bollworm), 1382 nucleotides long. RefSeq lists it as uncharacterized. Lineage: Eukaryota; Metazoa; Arthropoda; Insecta; Lepidoptera; Noctuidae. The record is from RefSeq and is a predicted model, not a curated record. The transcript is spliced from 2 exons.
GCUUAGAAUUAUAAGGAGACGCCGUUUUGAUAUUGACGUAUCUAUAGUUAUAUAAAUAUGAAACAAACUAUGCAACAUAGUUCUGUCUCACUCUUUCUAAGCAGAUAAGUGUAUUUGAAAACAGGGACAACAAUAUUUUUGUGAUUGCGUAAAAUGGUGACAUUUACUUUUGAAAUCCUUCUGCGUGCCAUAUCUGGCCAUAUAUGUCAUGGUAGUUGUGCUGUCAAAUAGGUGCUCUUCGUGACUUAUUUUGCUAUUUUAUAGAAUAUCACUCGUGUUUACUUUUAAGACUUUACUAUUUCAAUAGUGAAAUAAUCAACGAAUAUGCCUAUGUGUUGUAUUAGAAGUGUGGUGCUAGGAAGCACCAAAAUCAAGCUGGAUUGUCUUUACACAGUGCUUGCGCACAGACGAGCAAAUCGGAAUGCAAGUUGCAAUAUUUGCUUCAGAACUUAGUUACCGAAUAUAGGUUUCGAAUUGUAUAAAUAUUUUUUCUUAGCACUAAAAUUGUUUUGUACAAUCGAUUAAUACAUAAUUAGCUCCAUUUGCAUUAUAUAACUUUCUCAUGAAUAGCUUGAAAACGAUUUUAAAUUAUUGUAUUUUUUUAAGAGUAUCUCCUUAUGGCGUUUCUUGCGGAUUCUUCUUCAUAGGACCGAAUCUUUGGCACCCUGCAACUAGUCUGACGUGAAAGAACUUUCAUAGGGCUAUUUGAAAUAAUAAAUAAUUACUUUGCCUGUUUUUUUUUUUUUUCUAAGGUAUCUCCCUACUGAAAUGACUCCUCCCAUUUGGUUGAUGUUGUUGAGGUUAUUAGUAUCAGUGAAGUUAAUGUGAUAGUUAGUUCUAUGACGAAGAGAUUAUUUAUACUCGGUUAUUUUAUGCACCCAGUAAGACUCGUACAUACUUCUAACUAGAAUACAAUAUCGAUAUUUGUUGAAUCCGGUAGCGGUACAACCCUAGUCUUUCUUUCUCCUGUUCCCAAAUAUUACUUGGGGUCGGCGCAAUAUGUCAUUUUCUUCCAUUUUCCCCUGUCACUCGUCAUACUGACACUCACUCCCUUCCUAUUCAUAUCAUCUUUCAGGCAAUCCAUCCAUCUUUUCUUAGGUCUUCCUCUUCCUCUCCAUCCAUCUACAUUCAUACUUAGCACACACUUUGUUGCAUGCGUAUCAUCCCUCCUCAUUACAUGUCCAUACCACGACAAUCUUCUACUUCUCAUCUUUUCUGUAACUGGCGCUACUUUCAGACUUCCUCUAAUGUAAUCAUUCCUCACUUUAUCCAUUCUUGUAACACCACACAUCCAUCUCAGCAUUCUCAUUUCUGUUACAUGCACUCUCUUCUCGUCCCUCUUUUUCAAUGCCCAACACUCCGAUCCAUACAGGACGACAGGU